RNAcentral lists this ribosomal RNA (393 nucleotides) under uncultured bacterium. RNAcentral describes it as "bacterial SSU rRNA". It matches the Rfam family "Bacterial small subunit ribosomal RNA", at positions 100 to 524 of the family's 1533-position model. The record is from RNAcentral.
GACGGGUGAGUAACGCGUGGGAACGUGCCUUCUGGUCUGGAAUAACACUGGGAAACUAGGGCUAAUACCGGAUACGCCCUUUUGGGGAAAGGUUUACUGCCGGAAGAUCGGCCCGCGUCUGAUUAGCUAGUUGGUGGGGUAACGGCCUACCAAGGCUUUGACGGGUAGCCGGCCUGAGAGGGUGACCGGCCACAUUGGGACUGAGAUACGGCCCAGACUCCUACGGGAGGCAGCAGUGGGGAAUAUUGCACAAUGGGCGGAAGCCUGAUGCAGCAACGCCGCGUGCGGGAUGACGGCCUUCGGGUUGUAAACCGCUUUCGCCUGUGACGAAGCGUGAGUGACGGUAAUGGGUAAAGAAGCACCGGCUAACUACGUGCCAGCAGCCGCGGUAAU